This 428-nucleotide ribosomal RNA is filed under the name uncultured bacterium. RNAcentral describes it as "partial 16S ribosomal RNA". It matches the Rfam family "Bacterial small subunit ribosomal RNA", at positions 354 to 796 of the family's 1533-position model. The record is from RNAcentral.
GUGGGGAAUAUUGGGCAAUGGGCGCAAGCCUGACCCAGCAACGCCGCGUGAAGGAAGAAGGCUUUCGGGUUGUAAACUUCUUUUGUCAGGGACGAAGCAAGUGACGGUACCUGACGAAUAAGCCACGGCUAACUACGUGCCAGCAGCCGCGGUAAUACGUAGGUGGCAAGCGUUAUCCGGAUUUACUGGGUGUAAAGGGCGUGUAGGCGGGAAAGCAAGUCAGAUGUGAAAACUGUGGGCUCAACCCAUAGCUUGCAUUUGAAACUGUUUUUCUUGAGUACUGGAGAGGCAGAUGGAAUUCCGUGUGUAGCGGUGAAAUGCGUAGAUAUACGGAGGAACACCAGUGGCGAAGGCGGCCUGCUGGACAUUAACUGACGCUGAGGCGCGAAAGCGUGGGGAGCAAACAGGAUUAGAAACCCGUGUAGUCC